Molecule: long non-coding RNA, 504 nt
Organism: Wasmannia auropunctata (little fire ant)
Lineage: Eukaryota; Metazoa; Arthropoda; Insecta; Hymenoptera; Formicidae
Exons: 2
Source: RefSeq, a predicted model, not a curated record
CAGUAUAUUAAUAUUUAGAACGUAGAUAUUGAUAUUGUUGUUCUUAGAGUGAAAGUAUAAAUGUUUUCAAGCGAUUCUCUACUCAUAUUGCUCACCUAAAAGUGCUAAUUUGCUUUGUUUUUCCUUUAACUUCUUAAUUACGAAAAAUGAAAUCAGAAACUCAGAAUUUCUUUUGUGAACGGGGUGAACGCGGUAUAUGCUUGCUACAUGGAAAACAAGAACGGACACUAUAGAAAUUUGAUUAAAGGUGCUCUGGCAAUAGCUGAGGCGAAAGUAUCUUAUCCGGACGAUGAAAGUCUGAAAAGUCUUUCUCAGUGUGGUGUUCUGGUUUUUCCGUUGCUUCCACGAUGAAAACUUCAAGUUCUUUGUGAUAAUCAAGCAUCAUUAGUAUAUUUUUUACAUAGUUCAAGAUUUCAAGUAUAUUUAUGUUUAUUUAAAAUAAUAUAGAAGUUAAUAUAGUGGAUAAUUAGUAAAGUAAUAUUCUAAUAAAUUUAAACAAAACUA